GUUAAUCUAGUUUAUUAGAAUGCUAAGUUGUGGUCUUAGUGGUGGGCUGCAUUACCCGAUUGACU
Molecule: transfer RNA, 65 nt
Filed under: Epigonichthys maldivensis
Lineage: Eukaryota; Metazoa; Chordata; Leptocardii; Amphioxiformes; Branchiostomatidae
Description: tRNA-His
Source: RNAcentral